GAGCACAUGUUUCAUUCGAAUAAACUUCAUUCCUGCUCUUUUGGAAAUCUGAGCUUGCUGAUGAGGAGAUUAGAAAAAAAAAUUCAAAUGCAUCUGGGUGGGUUUUUACCAAAAAAAAAAAAAAUCUCUGAUCAAACAUUUGUGGAGUUGGACAAAGGCUUGUGGGAGAAAAUGGGCGGAGGUCCUGCAGGAUUUUAAUUGGUUCGCAUUACAAAGAAAGGGGCGGGGCUUGUGCUGCGGUGAUGUGAUGCAGCUGCAGGAGGAGAGAAGAAGAGGAGAAGGUGAGGAAGAGGAGGAUGGGAAGUUAGUUCCUCUGCUCUCCGACAAGAUGAACAGCUCAACGUUCACUGUGACUUUACUUUGACUGGAGGUUUUUUUUUCCAGAAAACAUAUUUUGGCACUUUUUUUGUUCUUUUCCUGCUUUGCAUAUGUUUAAUCCUCGUUUUGCAAAGUCGCUCUCAGCUGGAAGAUGUUGCUCUGCUGCUGGACAUGCACCGUUUUCCUCCUCGGCCUGCUGAGCUCCUCCUCAGCUGACGAUGCAGCAGCGGAGGACUUCGGAGGAGAGUCUGGCUCCGGGAUGCUGCAGGCAGAUGAGGUGAACAUCCUGCAGGAACUUUCUUUUCAAGUGUCCGACAGCAGAAACGCCUCCAUGAUUAAGGAGGCCGGCAGGUGUCCGGUGCUACAGGUGGGACAGUAUUCAACGCUGGCUCUGCCUCUGAGACAGAUCUUCACCGAUGGGUUUGAGGACGAGUUCAGUUUACUGGUGCAGCUGCGAAGCCCUCAGAGGGAAGAGUACAGCGUCUUCACGAUGCUCAGCCCUGACAGCCACGUCACGAUGCAGCUGCGGAUCAGCGCCGUCGCCGUCAUCUUCAUCGGAACGCAGCAGCGACACUACGAGCGUCUCUUGGCAGGUUUCUCCUCUUCGGUAACCACAAAAGCUCGAAGCAAUACAUCACGGCAAGACAGAACAACAGGACUGGGCCAAAAGAUAGACACACACAGAUACUGUACUUAUCUUGUACUGCUGGCAAAUCACUGGCUUUAUUUUAAAGCUGCAUGUUCAUCAAGUGUGUUUGAGCUGUGAUUUAUAUUUAAACUCACAUUAAUUAGUCACUUUACAGGUCUUGGUAGGUACGUGUGCAUACACUACUGUUCAAAAGUUUGGGGUCACUUAGCCCUUUAAGACCUAACAGGACACAUUCUUAAUUUUUACAGACUGCAUGAGUAUUUUUAUUUGCAUUACAUUUGCUUUACAGCAAUAUGACCCUUUUAUCCCAAAUUUUAAGAACAGAUAUUGACUUAUGUCUUAACUACUACAAUAAGUUGCUUAGAAGUACAAUAAACCUAAGAAAAAAUUGAAGUCUUUUUUGUUUUUUUUCCACAUAUUUCAAAAUACAGAAAUUGCAUAGCUGUGUCCCUUAAAUGUGUAAAAAAAAAGUUGUCCAAUA
Molecule: long non-coding RNA, 1448 nt
Organism: Amphiprion ocellaris (clown anemonefish)
Lineage: Eukaryota; Metazoa; Chordata; Actinopteri; Pomacentridae
Source: Ensembl